This 253-nucleotide ribosomal RNA is filed under the name uncultured bacterium. Its description in RNAcentral is "partial 16S ribosomal RNA". It matches the Rfam family "Bacterial small subunit ribosomal RNA", at positions 524 to 776 of the family's 1533-position model. The record is from RNAcentral.
UACGUAGGGUGCAAGCGUUGUCCGGAAUUAUUGGGCGUAAAGAGCUCGUAGGCGGUCUGUUGCGUCGGCUGUGAAAACCCGAGGCUCAACCUCGGGCCUGCAGUGGGUACGGGCAGACUAGAGUGCGGUAGGGGAGAUUGGAAUUCCUGGUGUAGCGGUGGAAUGCGCAGAUAUCAGGAGGAACACCGAUGGCGAAGGCAGAUCUCUGGGCCGUAACUGACGCUGAGGAGCGAAAGCAUGGGGAGCGAACAGG